RNAcentral lists this ribosomal RNA (468 nucleotides) under uncultured bacterium. RNAcentral's name for it is "partial 16S ribosomal RNA". It matches the Rfam family "Bacterial small subunit ribosomal RNA", at positions 28 to 507 of the family's 1533-position model. The record is from RNAcentral.
GACGAACGCUGGCGGCGUGCUUAACACAUGCAAGUCGAACGGAAAGGCCCUGCUUUUGUGGGGUGCUCGAGUGGCGAACGGGUGAGUAACACGUGAGUAACCUGCCCUUGACUUUGGGAUAACUUCAGGAAACUGGGGCUAAUACCGGAUAGGAGCUCCUGCUGCAUGGUGGGGGUUGGAAAGUUUCGGCGGUUGGGGAUGAACUCGCGGCUUAUCAGCUUGUUGGUGGGGUAGUGGCUUACCAAGGCUUUGACGGGUAGCCGGCCUGAGAGGGUGACCGGCCACAUUGGGACUGAGAUACGGCCCAGACUCCUACGGGAGGCAGCAAUGGGGAAUAUUGCACAAUGGGCGGAAGCCUGAUGCAGCAACGCCGCGUGCGGGAUGACGGCCUUCGGGUUGUAAACCGCUUUCGCCUGUGACGAAGCGUGAGUGACGGUAAUGGGUAAAGAAGCACCGGCUAACUACGUG